AAAGAGUUGGGGAAAAACCUGGAGCUGUGGUCUGUGCGGAUAGCAGAAACACAGGCAAAAGCAGGAGACGAGAUCUAGAGGAAAAAUUUAGUCUCCUGGGGAAGAAGCUGAAAACAAGGGCUCCUAAGAUGGACAAGACCAGAGAGAGAGGUGGAAAUGCUUGGCCAAGAAGACAGAGCAGGAGAAAGUUUUCAAACCCAUCAGGAUCUGGAAUGUUUCUGGAAUAAAUGGAGCCGGUAUGGCCGGGAGGGACUUCACCUGACCUCUAACAGACCAAGCUGCCAGCACUUCAGAAGACUGUGAAGGAUCUUAGAAGCAGAGGAGCAGCAGCAGGUUGGCUGGUGUGGAAGAGUACGUGCUUCAGGAGGACACCAAGGAUGACCUGAGAAGUCCCUAUCCUCAGGAAAGAGAGAAAAGCUGGGUAAUUUCCUGUCAUUUCCUUUCUGUUUCGCCCUGUUCUUAUGGCGAGGGCUCAACCACGAAGCGUGUUUUCAACGCAAUGGAUUUCUGCGGAUUUUAUACUAAAUAUCCGGCGCCUGGCGGGAGGGUGUUGGAUGAUGAGAGUGUCACUCCAUUGAAUAGAGCAGCAGCCCCCGUGUCAGUGUUAAGUCUUCGGUGUGAAAAUUAUCAUGCAUAACCCACAAAAACGAAAAGCCAACCGGUAACCUCGGCAGAUCAACUACAAAGAGAAUACGUGGCAAAAGAAUGCUUGAAUAAGCAGGCAGAAGCUCAAAAAAUGCGGUGCGCUGAAGAAAAGCGGUAACUCCACAGCCCAAGCGGGUUAGCCGAGUGAAGAAGUCACCGCAUGGGAGGUACCGAGACAACUCGAGACGCAAAGCACCCCUUCAUCGCCUUUAAAAAGCUCCCGAAAUUCAGCAGCGCCCGCGCAGCACCUCUCGGCCCAGGCGAGCGCCGCGUCAAAGCCUCGUGUCAUUUUCCCCCUUGAAGAGUUUAAAGAGGAGUGAAUCACAGUUCUGUUUGAGGUGGGGAUAGCCCUCUGGAAAGAGCACAAAAUUAAAUUAGUAAUGGGACCGCAUUUCAUUAGCGCAUGCUAAGAGCCUCCAGUUGUUGUACAAGCUUCCCCGUUCACGUUAGGGAAGCAACCGAUUAUACACAGCGCUAUCUGGAGCUGUGAAAUUUUAAUUCCUGCCCCCAAAAGAUUAGAAUAUCAAUUACAAGCGCAAAAAGAGAAGCGUGAAGCUGCUCCCCCCCAAAUAACACAGUUAAAUUGCUUUCUCCUCCUUUAACUUAAAUCUCAUUGUGGAAAAAGCGCUGCUUUUUUUUUUUUUUUUUUCCUUCCUUAUUUUAUAUGUAUAUUAUGCAUUCUGUUGCCACCUUAGGAGUGUAAAUUCGCCAUCCCGAGCCACACGCACAGCA
Molecule: long non-coding RNA, 1377 nt
Organism: Chroicocephalus ridibundus (black-headed gull)
Lineage: Eukaryota; Metazoa; Chordata; Aves; Charadriiformes; Laridae
Exons: 4
Source: RefSeq, a predicted model, not a curated record